This 893-nucleotide long non-coding RNA is filed under the name Solanum tuberosum (potato). Its description in RNAcentral is "long non-coding RNA (STUB_LNC000708)". Lineage: Eukaryota; Viridiplantae; Streptophyta; Magnoliopsida; Solanales; Solanaceae. The record is from RNAcentral.
CUUGUCUACUUACUCCUAUCUACUGCACUUACGAAUUCUAUCCUAUCUCUAUAGUAAUGCACGUACUAUCUUACUUACUUUUACACUUGUCCUAUUAAUAAUGCACACCACCUACCUCACUUUACACUUGUCCAUACUACUUUAAUAAUGCAUACCUACCACACUUACCACUUUACACUUGUCUACUUACUCCUAUAUACUGCACUUACGAAUUCUAUCAUAUCUCUAUAGUAAUGCACGUACUAUCUUACUUACUUUUACACUUGUCCUAUUAAUAAUGCACACCACCUACCUCACUUUACACUUGUCCAUACUACUUUAAUAAUGCAUACCUACCACACUUACCACUUUACACUUGUCUACUUACUCCUAUAUACUGCACUUACGAAUUCUAUCAUAUCUCUAUAGUAAUGCACGUACUAUCUUACUUACUUUUACACUUGUCCUAUUAAUAAUGCACACCACCUACCUCACUUUACACUUGUCCAUACUACUUUAAUAAUGCAUACCUACCACACUUACCACUUUACACUUGUCUACUUACUCCUAUAUACUGCACUUACGAAUUCUAUCAUAUCUCUAUAGUAAUGCACGUACUAUCUUACUUACUUUUACACUUGUCCUAUUAAUAAUGCACACCACCUACCUCACUUUACACUUGUCCAUACUACUUUAAUAAUGCAUACCUACCACACUUACCACUUUACACUUGUCUACUUACUCCUAUAUACUGCACUUACGAAUUCUAUCAUAUCUCUAUAGUAAUGCACGUACUAUCUUACUUACUUUUACACUUGUCCUAUUAAUAAUGCACACCACCUACCUCACUUUACACUUGUCCAUACUACUUUAAUAAUACAUACCUACCACACUUACCCACUUUAGACUUGUCU